GAAUUUGAAAGGGAAAAACACGCCCACAGUAUACUGCAAUUUCAGUUUGCUGAAGUCAAGGAGGCCCUGAAGCAAAGAGAGGAAAUGCUCGAGAAACAUGGAAUAAUCCUAAAUUCAGAAAUAGCUACCAAUGGAGAGACUUCUGACACUCUCAAUAAUGUUGGAUACCAAGGUCCUACCAAGAUGACGAAAGAAGAGUUAAAUGCCCUCAAGUCGACAGGGGAUGGGACCCUAGAUAUUAGGUUGAAAAAGCUGGUUGAUGAACGGGAAUGCUUAUUGGAACAGGUAACAAUCUUUUUAUUACUUUACCGAUUCAUGAACAGGGCAUCUGAAACCACCUGCCCAUCCUUCCUUCUUGCUUACUCAGAAAACCCCUAAGUUAAUCAUGCCUGAAAGUCAUUAUCAAGCCAACUGGUGCUCUUAAGAUUGUUAUCCAAAUAGAACAUCAAAGUUGAUAUUUUCAUCCAAAGAGAGUAUCCUGAGUCAUAUGAGGUUUAAUAAGGAUGUCUCAAAGACCCAAAGCUGUGGAACUGGGUUUGGUACAUUUUACUGAAUUGCUGCUUAAAAUAAAUAUAAAUGUUGAUCAUUAAUAAUAUUAAUGAUUAACCAUUGAGAAACAAGAGCAUUACUGAGUCAUUCCAAAUAGCACUUCUCUUGUCCAUAUGGGUUGUUUGUCCAUAAAAGUCAGUUUUGUACUCUUGGUGAUCAGCACCCCUCUCUCACAGGUAUUUCUUUGCUACAGCUAGACAGAGUUGUUUUAACCGUGUUUAUCUUCAUUGCUCUCUUCUACCUCAAGACAUAGCAGGCCGGGUGCGGUGGCUCACACCUGUAAUCGUAGCACUUUGGGAGGCCGAGGCGGGCGGAUCACUUGAGGUCAGGAGUUCAAGAGCAGUCUGCCAACAUGGUGAAACCCCGUCUCUACUAAAAAUACAAAAAUUAGCUGGGUGUGGUGGUGGGCACCCGUAAUCCCAGCUACUGGGGAGGCUGAGGCAGGUGAAUCGCUUGAACCCGGGAAGCAGAGGUUGCAGUGAGCCGAGAUCGCACCACUGCACUCCAGCCUGGGUGACAG
This 1069-nucleotide small RNA is filed under the name Pongo abelii (Sumatran orangutan). RNAcentral's name for it is "retained intron". Lineage: Eukaryota; Metazoa; Chordata; Mammalia; Primates; Hominidae. The record is from RNAcentral.